CUGCCAUAUAAUAAACCCUUGAAUGCUAAUCUAUUUCCUAAGUAAACUCACAUAUCAUAAAACUCAGAGCCUUGAACUAUGCAUGUCUUGAAGCUCUGUGCUGAUUUCAAGUGUUACAUUGGGGGAAGCUAGGGUUCAAAUUCAUUUUUAUUCUCUCAGAAGAGUAAAAUACAAACCUAAAACCUAAAUUAGAAAAAAAUGAAGCUUUUUUUAACUUUUAAAAAAUUGUUUGAGUUACACUUAACUUUAUCAGCAAUGUGUAGACACACUGCCAGUUGUCAUAUAAGCAUUCUACAGCAAGAUACCAACCCAGAGUUCUUGCUAAUUUUAUAUCGUGUGCUGCUUUAGGGUUAAAACCUAUCCUGACUGCUAGUAUUUAUGGCUUAAAGGCUGCCACGCAGUCAUGACAACGUAUCCAUAAUGCCAGCAUCACCAAUGCAGGUUUAAAAAAGAGCGAGCAUACUUUUCUAUAAUUAGAGGCCUAUUCUGUUACAGUAAAAGCAUAAAUUAAGUCUUUAUUUUUAUUAAACAAGUAUUUCAAGUGUUCCUUCCAA
RNAcentral lists this long non-coding RNA (554 nucleotides) under Homo sapiens (human). RNAcentral's name for it is "HSALNT0281860". Lineage: Eukaryota; Metazoa; Chordata; Mammalia; Primates; Hominidae. The record is from RNAcentral.